Molecule: long non-coding RNA, 2070 nt
Organism: Ictalurus punctatus (channel catfish)
Lineage: Eukaryota; Metazoa; Chordata; Actinopteri; Siluriformes; Ictaluridae
Source: Ensembl
UUAUCAUGUAUGCAAGGCUAACUUAAAUACUUUUUAACAAUAUUACAAUAAUGCCAUUCUUCACCAGAUUUACGCCAAUUUACAUAAAAAUACAGAAAAUAUGCACCAUAUUUAUGUGAUGAUGUAGAUUUUUCUCAUAGACUUGUUAGUCGUGGAAAUAGCCAACUAUAACUAGCUGACGUAAACUGAGAAAUCUGGAGAGUAUAAAGACAUACAUGAUACAUUAACUUCAUUGUACUUAGUUUAGUUGCUGUAUGAAUUUGUGUGAAAGUGGUUGUAUUUUACUAAAAUGUAUUGUUGUUUUUGGACUCCUGGCUGGCUCACUCUUGAGUGACUGGCUGAUCUGGCACAGACAAAGUUUCAGAACACUGAGACCUUAAAAUCUUUUUAAAUUAUUUGCUUUUUUCCCCAUUUCAGUGCCAGUUGUUGUGAAGUGCAACUAUUUGCAGUUAUGUGCUGACAACACUUCAAGACGCUUCCUGUAUGAAGAAAUUAAUGGGCCGCAGUAUUCAGGUGUGAUUUUGGCACAUUCUUCUAAACAUAUUGUCUUUAAAUCUUGUUCAGUUGGAUUCGAGUCAAAUGAUUGACUGAAAUUGAGUGUUUCCUUUGCUUUAUGCUUUGGAUCGUUGUCCUGCUGGAAGUCCACCUACGUCUCAUCUUCAUCAUCCUUGAGGAUGGCAGCAGAUUCUUCUCAAGAAUCUCCCGAAGCACUACCUGCACAGUGCUGCUUCAGUUAAGCCCAUGUAGACCCGGCAGCUCCUACAUCAGAAAAGCAGUAACAGCACUUUAUGAGUUCAACUAAUCGGGGAGGCGAAGAGAGUGGGAAAGGUCUGUGCUUGGACGAUGCCACACUGCCACCUGGAGAUGGUAUUGUACAUUACAGCUCCUCCGUACUCUUCUCUGAAAUUUGCCAGGAGAUGAUGGGCAAUGUCACAUGAUGCAACUAAACCAUCAUUCCUCAAGAAAUAUAAGAGCUGAGGAGUGCAGGCUGAGAAACACACACACACAGAGGCACACACUCUCACACAGUCAAGUGCCCAAGGUCAAGUACUGGCUUUACUGCUACAUGAAAGCUGUACAAUUCCACCUUUUCAGACUGGUGCGAACCUGCAACUUAAUUGCAGUCACACCCCUCCCACGAAUACAACAUCCUCCCUCCCUCGUUAAUGUUGCGUUCAACAUCACAAUAGCAACAUAAAUACUGCCACAGCCGGACAUGACAGGACUGCAAGAAAAGUCUACACUAUACAAUCCAACACCGGCAGAUGGGACACAAGAGACCACAACGGCAACAGUGUCUGCCAGCAACACGACAGAAUCAUAACGUGACAGGACCAAAAACACCACACUAUACAUUACAAAUACAUCAUCAUCAUCAUCAUCAUCAUCAUCAUUAUCACUACGUAUCUGAACAGAAUCAAACACCACACUAUACAUUACAAAUACAUCAUCAUUAUCAUCAUCAUCACUACGUAUCUGAACAGAAUCAAACACCACACGAGACAUAACAAAUACAACAUCGACAUCGCUCCGUAGAAAGAUCAAAUCAAACACCACAUGACGCCAGCCUACAUCCUUUCCAUGAAAGCUUCAGCAUAUCCUGAGCACCUAACAGCUGAAGCUUACUGUAAAACCAGUGGAUCACUUUCAGAUCUCCUCUAAACUCAGGAACCGAGUUCCAGAGAACUUUGGGAAUACAAAAACUGUAGAUGUUUUGUUUGAAGUUUUGAAAUGUGAGAAUUUAGCUUAUUUAACAUAUUUCUAAUGAAUUUCAUUUUCUAUGUAUGUUUAUAUUUAAUGUGCUUGGCCACAAAUAUUUAAAUGUUUUAUUUAACAUACUUAUUUAACUCACACUUCUUGCAUCGUUUAUCUUGUUAAUAUUUCCCUGAUUUGUAGUAAUUCUCAUGAAUGUAUAGUUUCACAAUUAGAUUUCUGAUUUAUAAAUGUUACAUUAUUAAUUAAAUCAAUGUAUUAUUAUUAUUAAUUGAAGAAUUGUUUCACUAAUGGACUUUAUCAUAAAUGCUGAUUUUUUUUUUAAUUGGUGUACAAAUAAACUAUAUCUACACAAAC